This 166-nucleotide unclassified non-coding RNA is filed under the name uncultured Ascomycota. Its description in RNAcentral is "sequence contains ITS2". Lineage: Eukaryota; Fungi; Ascomycota. The record is from RNAcentral.
UCCUCUCUCAAACCCCCGGGUUUGGUGUUGGACCGCGUUGGCCGUGAGGCCAACUGGUCUCAAAGACAAUGACGGCGUCCCAGGGACCCUCUUCGCACUGAGCUUUCCGGAGCACGCGUAGAGUUUCAAGGGCCCAGGGACCCGGUCGCCUCUAAAACUUUUAUCA